AAAAAAAAAAAAGAAAAACCUGAUCAAUUAAUUCUGCACUAAUUCCCUCAAGACUCUAUUCCCUUGGGGGAAUAUGAAUACAGUUUUACUUAUUUGAAAUUGGUUGUGCUAAUAUUCCUGAAAAUUGUCCCAUUUCUUGGAUCCAUUUAAAAAUUUUCUGUUGGCAUAGCAACAGAUUAAAAGCUCUACCACAGUUUUUACCACUUACUCCAUUCUUAAGAAAACAAAGCAUAUAUUUAUUUUACAUUUAAUUACAUCCUUUCUGUCCUCUUCUAUCAGCCUAUGAAUGUGAGACUAACUUCCGUUCUCAUUCCCCUAAGAUAUUCAACCCUAUAGUGGAUGUUUAUAAUUCAAAACUACUGUGCUAAAAUAGCUCUAAAAAAAAAAAAAAGUGUUUCACUGAGGUAGUUACUAGGUCAUGUUUCUAUUGUGAAAUAUUUAUAUGUAAAUCACCAAACACUUUUAGUAUCUGACCUGGAAAAAACAUCUCAUCGAUUUUAUUUAUAAUACUGGAUUUAAAAGCUUCUAUCAAAAUGGUAUCCAAGCAUUUUUUCCCCUUCUCUGGUAAAUGAUGUUUAUAAAUUCCUGGGGCAUAAGUUAAUGUUUUGGGAAGGUACCCAGAGUGUAAUUCUUAAAUAAGUAAAUUUGCUUUAAUAAAUCAGAAUUUGAAAAUAUAUGAACUCAGAAAGCACACCUUUCAGAUCUCACCAACACUGUCAGGGAAAUAACUAAUCCUUGCCCAUGAAGCCCACAGGAACUGUUCACAGCAGGAUCCUCAGCCCUGGCUGCACAUUAGAAACAUCUGUUGAACUCUUAAAAUUGACCAGAUCUCUGCCCACCCCUCGCCCCCUAGUUGUUUUAAUUAUUCUAGAGGGAAUUUCAAACAUGGAGAUGUUUUAAUUUCUUCCUAAUACUCACAUGUAGAGAACUGAUAGUUUAGCACCAGAGAAUCCACAUAAACAUGCACAGAUCCCUCCUUACUCUGUGAGCCACUGUCCAUAGGAUGGAGGGAGACAAACUAAAAUCUGAGGAGAGGUCAUUGGAGAUUGAAAAGUCAUGAAACUAAGAGGUCAGAAUAUUGAGUCUUUUAUACAUUAUAUCAACAUCAUUUCAAAAACAGGAUACCUGGAAUUAAACAGUAUCUAGACUUGAUUUUUAGUAUACAGAAUAAGGGCAUUAAUACUUGGUUAGUAUUUCUCUUCUUAAAGCCUGUGACUGUAUUCAUCUUUCCACACCUAUAUCAUUAUGGUCAACUUUCCAAAAAUUAAUAAAAAUAAAAUAAAACCAAAUAAAAUUAAUUUUGCAGAACCAGGUUCCUUUGCCCCAAUGCUCAGCAAGCCAAAUGCUGAGCUGUGAGGUUUGCUGCAGAGUGUUUAUUCAGAAGGCAGCCAAGUGAGGAGACGGGACAGGUUUCAAAUCCAUAUCCCUAAAGGCAAAGGGCUGGGCUUUAUUUAUGGGAUAAAGAAUAAAGUAGCAGGUUGGUCUGUAGUGUGAAGGGUAUGGGGAAAGGUGAUUGGAGAUAAGAAAAAAGCAGGGUUAAUUGUCAUUCCAUGCAGACAUAAUUGAGCUACAGUUACCUUCACCGGACUUGCCUUCAGGAAAUGGUCCCAUGGCAGGAUCUGAGGGUGGAGUUUGGGGCCUUCAGAUGUCAAAAGGUCAGUGAGGGGACACUCAUGCAUUCCCAGUGUGAGAGUUGGUGGUCCUAUCCAGUCUUAACUGGACUGAACUGGAACUAGACACAGCUGACUCCCACUUCCUGGAAAACAACUCUGGCAAAUUUCUUAUUUAGGCUACAUGCUCCUUGGAGAGGCUACGUGUCCUUCGGAGCAACAAUUAAGAUGAUCUUGAUUAGCGAAGGCCAGGUAACAAGUAUGGAUGUAAAUGAUGACUACCCAUGGUUUUAUUAACAGGAAUUAAACCUGGCCUCUCUCAUUUUGAAUUUGUAGAACUAAAUUUUUAAAAAUGAUGUACGAUCUUUCUCAUUUGUUUUUGCAUAAUCCGAUCAUUCUUACUCUGUCAUGCAAGCUCUAUCAUUCAAAAUACUCAUUUCCUCUACCUGUCUAAGGUGAUAUGUAAGGUCUCCAAAAUAGGAAGAUGGCUUUCCAGAAACCCAAAGGUUUGGAUUGUUUUUCUGGAUGUUAUAUCCAAAUACAUAUGGAUAACUUGCUUAAUUCUUAACACAUAUUUUAUUUAGAAAAAAAAGAGUUGUUAUUUUGGGUCAGGCUGAUUUCAUGUAGCCAGGAAAUGACAUCAUGGACUGUCACUCAGAAAAGAUACUGCAACACAUUUGUUAAACCUUCCAAAUUUCGUUAGUUUAUAUAGCAUGAACACAUUUAUGGCCUGACCUAAGGUUUGGAGCUUCUCAAAUGUUCUCAAAACUUGAGUAUUUGUUGACUUAAAAGUUUUAAAUUGCACAAUUGUUACCUUGUUGCCUCAAAUUGAAGAGGAAAGGGCACUACAUUUUUCUUCUGCCUACUUACACUACAGAAUUGGUUUCCACCACCAAUGCUCCCAUGCCCUUCUCCUCCCAUUGUUUUGUAAUGCCCCAUAUGAACUUGCCAUUUAUGAGGAAAUACCAGUUUUAAACCUGACAUCUGUCGAGCACACCUUAUUAAGUACUGCAGAAUUUAGUUCUGAUCACUCUGAAAAUAGCAAUAGCAGCAUCAUAAUUACUCCUGAAAAUAAAACUAGUGAGGUUUAAGAUUUUUUUUUGUUGUUUUUCUUUAUGUCCUUAGAAUAUAUUUCACAAAGAAUAUACAGAGUCUUUAUUCAAAAGACCAUUAAAACAAGACUUUCCUCUAGAUGAGUAUACUACCAAUUUACUGCAUAAAUAGGUUAAUUUGUUUGAUUUUUUUUAGCUUUUUUCUCUUGGAAUUUUUUUUUCCAUCAGUAAAAUAUUUAAAAUCAAAAUUUUAUUUGAAGACACACUCACAGACAUCUCACUUACAUCUCUAUUCUCUUUGUUCUUUUUUCCCCUUCAAUUCAUAGACGUUUCUUUUUCAAAAAUAAAUUUACAUGUGUGUGUCUCUCUCUCUAUAUAGACAUAAAUACACACAGUUUUCUUAUACAUACAUAUGUAUAUGUGUUUGUAUAUAUUUUUCUAUCUUUAUAUACAAAAGACAGCAUACUGUAUGUGCCUUGUGACCUCUCACUUUUUUUAUGACUACAUUUUGUGGAUGUACUGUAGUUUACUCAAAUAUUCUCCUGUUGAUGAACAUUUGGAUCACGAAGUCUUAUGUUUUUGAAAGAUACUACAGUAAUCAAUAAUGGUGUACAAAUGUGGACUUAUAAAUGUAGGGAGAUAUUUUCUGUGUACACUCCUAGAGCUGAGAUAGCCUAAGUCAAAAGGAAUACGCCUCUGACAUUUUUGGCUAGUGAUUUUAUUCUUACAUUCUUGUGAUAUACUUUACUUAGUUAUGAAUGAUGUAUAAUUAUAUUUUGCUCUGUUGUCAAAUUGUUUGCUAACAUUUUAUUUAGGACUAUUGAGAAAUGUUUGUUAAAGGCUGAAUCCUGUUUUCCCCCUGCCCAAAGUCAUGAGGGACUGUAUUUGGAGAUAGGGAUUUAAAGAACUAAUUAAGAUGAAAUGAGGUCUUGGAGUUUCCAUAGUGGCUCAGCAGAGUCAAAUCUGACGCAUCCAUGAGGACUCAGGUUUGAUCCCUGGCCUCGCUCAGUGGGUUAAG
This 3680-nucleotide long non-coding RNA is filed under the name Sus scrofa (pig). Its description in RNAcentral is "lncRNA (ENSSSCG00000061177.1)". Lineage: Eukaryota; Metazoa; Chordata; Mammalia; Artiodactyla; Suidae. The record is from RNAcentral.